Molecule: ribosomal RNA, 460 nt
Filed under: uncultured bacterium
Lineage: Bacteria
Description: partial 16S ribosomal RNA
Rfam family: Bacterial small subunit ribosomal RNA
Source: RNAcentral
CCUACGGGAGGCAGCAGUGAGGAAUAUUGGUCAAUGGGCGCGAGCCUGAACCAGCCAAGUCGCGUGAGGGAUGAAGGUUCUAUGGAUCGUAAACCUCUUUUAUAAGGGAAUAAAGUGUGGGACGUGUCCUAUUUUGUAUGUACCUUAUGAAUAAGGAUCGGCUAACUCCGUGCCAGCAGCCGCGGUAAUACGGAGGAUCCGAGCGUUAUCCGGAUUUAUUGGGUUUAAAGGGUGCGUAGGCGGCCUUUUAAGUCAGCGGUGAAAGUCUGUGGCUCAACCAUAGAAUUGCCGUUGAAACUGGAAGACUUGAGUGUGUUUGAGGUAGGCGGAAUGCGUGGUGUAGCGGUGAAAUGCAUAGAUAUCACGCAGAACUCCGAUUGCGAAGGCAGCUUACUAAGCCAUAACUGACACUGAAGCACGAAAGCGUGGGGAUCAAACAGGAUUAGAUACCCUAGUAGUC